ACUUCUCAACUCCUCACGGUUUGCCCGUGAUGAGCUUGGACUUUGGGGGUCUUGCCGGCCUGCGGGUCGGCUCCUCUCAAAUGAAUCAGCUUGCCAGUGUUUGGUGGCAUCACAGGUGUGAUAACUAUCUACGCUUGUGGUUUUCUGCCAGGCAACCUCCAGCGAUGGGGGUUCACUGGAGCUCACAAAUGUCUCUCCUCGGUGAGGACGGCUCUUUGAAC
This 221-nucleotide unclassified non-coding RNA is filed under the name uncultured Tomentella. RNAcentral's name for it is "sequence contains ITS2". Lineage: Eukaryota; Fungi; Basidiomycota; Agaricomycetes; Thelephorales; Thelephoraceae. The record is from RNAcentral.